CCCCUGGUGGUCCAGUGAUUAAGACUCCAUGCUUUGAAUGCAGGGGAUUCAGGUUCAAUCCCUGGUCGGGGAA
This 73-nucleotide transfer RNA is filed under the name Bos taurus (domestic cattle). It matches the Rfam family "tRNA". Rfam says of the family: Transfer RNA (tRNA) molecules are approximately 80 nucleotides in length. Lineage: Eukaryota; Metazoa; Chordata; Mammalia; Artiodactyla; Bovidae. The record is from Rfam by way of RNAcentral. RNAcentral also lists the same sequence under 5 other names.